Molecule: transfer RNA, 83 nt
Filed under: Pirellula sp. SH-Sr6A
Lineage: Bacteria; Pseudomonadati; Planctomycetota; Planctomycetia; Pirellulales; Pirellulaceae
Also listed under: 2 other names
Rfam family: tRNA
About the family: Transfer RNA (tRNA) molecules are approximately 80 nucleotides in length. Their secondary structure includes four short double-helical elements and three loops (D, anti-codon, and T loops).
Source: Rfam by way of RNAcentral
GCCAAAGUGGCGGAAUGGCAGACGCGCUGGACUCAAAAUCCUGUGUCCGAAAGGACGUGUGGGUUCGACUCCCACCUUUGGUA